GCUGGGGUGAUUGUGAUGUUCAUUCACCUCGCUGUUAACUACAGGUUUGGAGCGAUGCUGCUGGUGUUCUUUUUCACUUCUUCAAAGUUUACCAAGUUUGGAGAAGAUAGGAAAAGGAAAAUUGAUGCUGAAUUCAAAGAGGGCGGUCAACGCGAUUGGAUUCAAGUCCUUUUCAAUGGUGGCAUCGCAACCCUUUUGGUUCUGACUGUAUGGACAGUGACUGGAUCAGAGGACAAAUGUCUGGAUUCAAAAGAGUCACACAUGAUAACAUCUUUAAUUGGUGGUAUCAUUGGUCAGUACUGCUGCUGCAAUGGGGACACAUGGUCUUCAGAGCUUGGGAUACUUAGUAAUGAGGAGCCUCGACUAAUUACAAACUUCAAGCCAGUUCGAAGGGGUACAAAUGGUGGAGUGACAAAAGCAGGACUCUUGGCUGCAGCAGCAGCAGGCACUGUCAUUGGAUUGACAUUUGUAGUCCUGGGAUUUUUCACUACAAAGUGCACAUCUGAUGUGACUGUAAAGCAGCUUUUUGUCAUACCACUUUCUGCAUUGGCUGGACUAUGUGGAAGUGUUAUCGAUUCUUUGUUGGGAGCAACACUACAAUUCAGUGGAUUCUGUUCUGUUCGGAAGAAGGUGGUUGGGAAGCCAGGACCAACUGUGAAGAGAAUAUCUGGUCUUACUGUCCUUGAUAAUAAUACAGUGAACCUCUUAUCAAUAUUGCUGACAACGGCUAUGACCUCCUUUGCCUUCUUAUACAUUUUCUGAAUGUAUCCAGCCAGCUCAAUUUGAAUUCUGUAGUAUUUUGUAUCAUCUUCCAGCAACAAUGAGGAUUAUGUUCAUGCUAUAAAUGCUACUAAGUAUCAUAAUCCCUAUCGAGAUUAAAUGAGAGAAUUUUUUCUCAACGCUGCCAUUUUGAUCUCAAAGUAAUCAAUUGUAUCUUCUUUCUUGUUUUGUUUUUAUUUUCGUCAUCCCCCUUUAUGUCUAUAGACAUGAAAAAGGUAUGUGGAGCUAUCCAUUA
RNAcentral lists this unclassified non-coding RNA (1015 nucleotides) under Hevea brasiliensis (rubber tree). Lineage: Eukaryota; Viridiplantae; Streptophyta; Magnoliopsida; Malpighiales; Euphorbiaceae. The record is from RNAcentral.